GGAAUAUUGGUCAAUGGUCGGAAGACUGAACCAGCCAAGUAGCGUGCAGGAUGACGGCCCUAUGGGUUGUAAACUGCUUUUGUGCGGGAAUAACGGUAGCCACGUGUGGUUGCGUGCAUGUACCGUACGAAUAAGGAUCGGCUAACUCCGUGCCAGCAGCCGCGGUAAUACGGAGGAUCCGAGCGUUAUCCGGAUUUAUUGGGUUUAAAGGGAGCGUAGGCGGAGGAUCAAGUCAGUUGUGAAAUGUAGACGCUCAACGUCUGCACUGCAGUUGAAACUGGUUCCCUUGAGUGCGUAAGAGGAAGGCGGAAUUCGUCGUGUAGCGGUGAAAUGCUUAGAUAUGACGAAGAACUCCGAUCGCGAAGGCAGCUUGCCGGGCCGCAACUGACGCUGAAGCUCGAAGGUGCGGGUAUCGAACA
RNAcentral lists this ribosomal RNA (419 nucleotides) under uncultured bacterium. RNAcentral describes it as "bacterial SSU rRNA". It matches the Rfam family "Bacterial small subunit ribosomal RNA", at positions 358 to 774 of the family's 1533-position model. The record is from RNAcentral.